AGAUAAUAGAUACCCGGGUAGUCCUAGCCCUAAACGGUGCGCGUUUGCUGUAAGAGGAAUCGACCCCUUUUGUGGCGAAAGCUAAACGCGUUAAAAACGCGCCGCCUGGGGAGUACGGUCGCAAGAUUAAAACUCAAAGAAAUUGACGGGGGCCUGCACAAGCGGUGGAGUAUGUGGCUUAAUUCGAUGCAACGCGAAGAACCUUACCUGGCCUUGACAUGCAUUUGGUAGAACCAUGAAAGUGGGACGACCCCGCAUGGGGAGGAUGCACAGGUGCUGCAUGGCUGUCGUCAGCUCGUGUCGUGAGAUGUUGGGUUAAGUCCCGCAACGAGCGCAACCCUUGUGUCCUGUUGCCAACCGAACGAGAGUUUGGAGCACUCUGGACAGACUGCCUCGCUCAAACGGGGUAGAAGGUGGGGAUGACGUCAAGUCAGUAUGGCCCUUACGGCCAGGGCUGCACACGUACUACAAUGCCCGCUACAAAGGGUAAGCAAGACCGCAAGGUGGAGCAAAUCCC
RNAcentral lists this ribosomal RNA (517 nucleotides) under uncultured bacterium. RNAcentral's name for it is "bacterial SSU rRNA". It matches the Rfam family "Bacterial small subunit ribosomal RNA", at positions 775 to 1275 of the family's 1533-position model. The record is from RNAcentral.